ACCCACUGUUUUUUGUUAGUUGAUCUGAUCUCUGUUAAUUCAUAUUUUUUAGUGCAAAGAUUUCAUCCGAGAUGUGCAAAAACAAAUGGCACCCUACGUGGCUUUUUCUUUUAACAGCACCUCCGAACGAAAACGCUAGGCGAGCCGCGGGCCAAGACCCCCUGGUGAAGAUCUGGACUCGGGCCGGUGGAUCCUGGAGGAACCGGCUUAAGCCCCUGGAGUGGAGCGACUCUGACUGAUGAGCUUUUUGAAAGUUGAUCAGACACUUAUGCUAAGAAGGGGAAACUGGAGCAAAGGCAUCCUUAAUUAUCUGAUGAGGGGAAGCUUAUCUGAACGGUUUCUUUUUCUCUCCUCUUUUAUUCUGCCGGAUCACAUGGCAGAUCUUUACAUGACAAAAGAGCUACCUGGCUGGCCCGCUUCAUUUAAAACUCCAUCCGGAUCCUAGAGACACUCUGCGUGUGUGAGUCCGGGCUUCUGGUCCGACGGUGAUCCACAACAAGUCCCUCCUUCACGUUACGUACAACAACACGUUCUGGAGUUGUAAUUUUCCUGAAAUACUGUGCCAUAAAGAUUUCAGGCCCGAGCAUAUUGGAACAUUUAUGGGUUCUCUCCCUGUGAUAAGUGUGUAAUUAAUUCACGAUUAAAAGUAUUAGUACA
Perca flavescens (yellow perch) is the source of this 657-nucleotide long non-coding RNA. RefSeq lists it as uncharacterized. The record is from RefSeq and is a predicted model, not a curated record. Lineage: Eukaryota; Metazoa; Chordata; Actinopteri; Perciformes; Percidae. The transcript is spliced from 2 exons.